CAAACAUGAAAUUUACGGAAAAUUCUCAUCACCUUAGACUAUCCCGGGUAUUGAAAUUAUAGGUAAAUUUUAGAAGCUAAUACUUCCUCCUUCGCCUUUUCACCUCAUUUGCCGCUUCUCUCCCAUUACGAGAGAGUGGCUAUCAAAGAAAAAAAUCAAGAAUCUACCAGACAAUAGAUACACCAGAAAAAUGUCAAAGGCUAAAAUUCUUGCAGGUUUGAUUCUAAUCACCUUCAUCGUUUCUUCGCAAGCCAAAGUUUUCCAUGACACCCCAAGAAACUUACUCAAGAAGCGGGUGGGGAGAUCAUUCGACAGCCUAACCCGCCUCCCCCCGCCGCCGUUUGUGCCCAGAUACGACGAGCAUCAGGCGGCGUAUGUCAAAGCCCACAAUAAACUCAGACGGAAAGUUGGCGUCCCACCAUUGAAAUGGGACGCGAAUUUAACCGCGGCAGCGUAUUCAUGGGCCCAGCAGCGCAAGGUUGAUUGCAAUUACAAAUACCAAGGGUGUGAACCCAUUGAAUCCUGUUGCUUGAAGGUCAAUUUAUAAUUGUUGGUUAGUUUUCUUUUAGGUUAUAUCUAUACUAAUAAUUUUGGCUUUUAAGCGAAGCCAAACGUCCAAAUGGAACAAGAUUGUUCCUUCGUCUAUGCUUAUUUUUCCUUCGAGGAUGGAGUGUAGGAAUGGUUAUUGUGUAAUAUGUAUUAAUUCGCUUUUGUUUGCAUGUAAUGAAUAGGAUCUAAUAUUCAAUGAUAUUGUUAGG
This 758-nucleotide long non-coding RNA is filed under the name Olea europaea subsp. europaea. Lineage: Eukaryota; Viridiplantae; Streptophyta; Magnoliopsida; Lamiales; Oleaceae. The record is from RNAcentral.